RNAcentral lists this ribosomal RNA (450 nucleotides) under uncultured bacterium. RNAcentral describes it as "bacterial SSU rRNA". It matches the Rfam family "Bacterial small subunit ribosomal RNA", at positions 354 to 796 of the family's 1533-position model. The record is from RNAcentral.
GUGGGGAAUAUUGGACAAUGGGCGAAAGCCUGAUCCAGCCAUGCCGCGUGUGUGAAGAAGGUCUUCGGAUUGUAAAGCACUUUAAGUUGGGAGGAAGGGCAGUAAGUUAAUACCUUGCUGUUUUGACGUUACCAACAGAAUAAGCACCGGCUAACUUCGUGCCAGCAGCCGCGGUAAUACGAAGGGUGCAAGCGUUAAUCGGAAUUACUGGGCGUAAAGCGCGCGUAGGUGGUUCAGCAAGUUGAAGGUGAAAUCCCCGGGCUCAACCUGGGAACUGCAUCCAAAACUACUGAGCUAGAGUACGGUAGAGUGUAGUGGAAUUUCCUGUGUAGCGGUGAAAUGCGUAGAUAUAGGAAGGAACACCAGUGGCGAAGGCGACUACCUGGACUGAUACUGACACUGAGGUGCGAAAGCGUGGGGAGCAAACAGGAUUAGAAACCCCUGUAGUCC